UACGUAGGGGGCAAGCGUUGUCCGGAUUUAUUGGGCGUAAAGAGCGUGUAGGCGGUUUGGCGCGUUCGUUGUGAAAACUCGAGGCUCAACCUCGAGACGCCGAUGGAAACCAUCUAACUAGAGUCCGGAAGAGGAGAGUGGAAUUCCUGGUGUAGCGGUGAAAUGCGCAGAUAUCAGGAAGAACACCCGUGGCUAAGGCGGCUCUCUAGGACGGUACUGACGCUGAGACGCGAAAGCGUGGGGAGCGAACAGG
RNAcentral lists this ribosomal RNA (253 nucleotides) under uncultured bacterium. RNAcentral's name for it is "partial 16S ribosomal RNA". It matches the Rfam family "Bacterial small subunit ribosomal RNA", at positions 524 to 776 of the family's 1533-position model. The record is from RNAcentral.